AAGUUAAUGACACUGUGUGAUACAAAUGAGUGCCAGGAGUAGAGGACUCGUUAGUGUGGUCACGGAAGACAAGGAUGCAAAUCAUGAACACGAGCAGGAGUGUGAACAACGCCAGGCUUCAGAUCUCGGCGAGUCAUAAGAACGUAUCGCUGAUCAGAUGCAGCAGAUAUUUAAUGAUAAUAUUUUUCUUGAUGAUAGCACGUCAGAGUCGGAACAAGAGCUUCCACGGACUAAGAUAACAUUGCCUGCAAGGCGAAUCUCGGAAACUACAUCAGAGUCAGAGUAGUCGUUAUUCGGCGGCGACUUUUCUGAUAACGAUCCUACCUACUAUCCAGACGAAGAGGACCAGCAGCGAGCUCCUGGCAACGACGGCGAUGAUGAUGGUGAUUUAAUUACAUUGCAGGACUUAUUAGGCGCCACUGCUAAUGAAAGCAUUAAAUCUUUUACUAUAUCACCACAGCCUGGCACCAGUCACCAAUAUGAAGAGAUAAAUCGACACAGUCUCUGAGAUUGCUACUCUAAUAUUAUCAGAUGUGUUAGAGUUGGUUUGGCCUGAAGUGAAAACAUUAAGCCGUUGGCAAGCUGCUGAUCCGAGCUUGGAAAAAAAAACGUCGCAAAAAAAAAGACGUGCGGAAGGGUUGUCGUAUACAACUAAUAACCACAUAAGAGCCCCAAAAGUCCCUAAGACAGUUGAUUGUACAAAAUGCUAAUUCAAAUGUACAGAUACAUUCACCGAACAAGACCGAGCGAAAAUAUGUAGAAUCUACUGGCAUUUGGACUUUGUGAGCAAAAAAACUUUAUACUGUCUCGUGUUACAGUCCAGCCACCAAAGAAAGUCCUGGUAGAGAGAAAACGUCCAGCUAGACCUUAGGUACACUACAAAGUGUUUUUUUUUUAUUUAGGCGCAGAGGAGCGACAAGUUUGCCAGAAAUUCUUUUGCUCUACUUUAGGCAUCUCACAGGCAACUCUCGGUGACGCGGUUAAAAACCGAGAUGAAAUUGGAUUUUACUCCGGUGCUGAUGGACGAGGACAUCAUAUUCCGCCACAUAAAACUCCCCCAGAAAAAGUGCAAGAAGUAGUUGACCACAUUUCUUCCAUUCCUACAAUCCCUCCAUUGUAAAAUAAUUGAUAAAAUUUCAGUUUAUUCAUUUCAAAUACCAACAAAUUAUUACUACGUGCUAACAACUAGUUUCUUUAGUGAAAACACUGUAAUGAGUAAAAUUAUGGAGCCUUCAAUAAGAAAUUCCAAUAUUGUUUACAGGUAAAACCUCUUAUACUUUGGUCGAUUUUCAGUUAAAUUGAAAAAACACGAAAACCUAUAGGUAUUUACUAUUAUCUUGGGGCUAGUAGAUACAUUCUAUGUAAAGUAAAGCUGAAUUAAAUAGAUAUACAGGCAUAAAUGCUUUCCUGAGGGAUUUAUACCAAAGUAUAUUUCUACAGGCAAAACCUAUUAAGUGCGCGACUAUUUAAUUUUAAUCUUAUUUUUAUCGUCACUUAGACACAACCUGGAUCUUUUGUAUGAUUAGGUAGUAAACUAGAUAAAAUUAUGCUUAGAAAUUUAUAAAUACAGUGUAAAUUUGUUCAUAUUUUUACAUAGAAAAGAACAUCCAAACAUUCAAAUAUAGACCAAUAGUGGGACCGGAUUUUUGCCCUAUAAGUUUCGAUAAUUCUAAAGAGUGAAAAGUGAUGUUUAUCUGGUAUGGGACAUAUUUUUAAGCAUAUUUGUAAUAUAUGAAGAAAAUUUAGAACGAGCGUUAGAUAUAAAUAAGGUAUUUAUGUAUUUUUAUUGAUGAAUUUUGAAUAUUGAAUUAAAGUACAAAAUUUAAGCAUCGUCUUUUAUAAUAUGUAUGAGGCUUUAUGCUAUCAAAUUUUUAGAAAAAAAAUCAACGUGCUACUUUGUCAAACUCAAAUUAGCUUAUUAUUUUGUCAAUAUUGAAUUAAAGUUUGAAAAAUCCACAAUAUCAUAUCUAAAUUCUUAAGUUAAUAGGCAAGGCAAAAAAUUAGAAGAAUAGGAUUAGUGCUUUACAAUUAAUAUGCGUUUUUUGUCCUGUAAGAUCUAAUAUUGAAUUAAAGUCCGUAGAGAUAAGUCUAUUACUAUAAAAUAAUAUAUGCAGCCAUUUUAUGGAAAGUAAGAAUUAUCUGUGUGUAGCUUGCAUUGUAAUAGUAAAAUCAACUUAAAAAGGCGCGAAAUUCAUAACCACGCCGCGCUGGUCCGUCAACAUGUCGGCUCGGCGCGCGGGAGUCUAUCGUAGCCGACCUAGUGAGCGAUAGAUACCUCGCCCCGCCCGCGCCCCCCGCUCAGCUUCGCAAGUUUUGUCUUUUCUUUCAAAUCAUUCAUUUGUUUGUUUAUCGUGCACAUAAAUUAGAUGCGGACAUUACAUGAAUUUAA
This is a long non-coding RNA of Cydia pomonella (codling moth), 2389 nucleotides long. RefSeq lists it as uncharacterized. NCBI's taxonomy places the organism in Eukaryota, Metazoa, Arthropoda, Insecta, Lepidoptera, Tortricidae. The record is from RefSeq and is a predicted model, not a curated record. The transcript has 2 exons.